Molecule: ribosomal RNA, 492 nt
Filed under: uncultured bacterium
Lineage: Bacteria
Description: partial 16S ribosomal RNA
Rfam family: Bacterial small subunit ribosomal RNA
Source: RNAcentral
AGUGAACGCUGGCGGUAGGCCUAACACAUGCAAGUCGAACGGCAGCACAGUAAGAGCUUGCUCUUACGGGUGGCGAGUGGCGGACGGGUGAGGAAUACCUCGGAAUCUACUUUUUCGUGGGGGAUAACGUAGGGAAACUUACGCUAAUACCGCAUACGACCUAAGGGUGAAAGCAGGGGAUCUUCGGACCUUGCGCGAUUGAAUGAGCCGAUGUCGGAUUAGCUAGUGGGCGGGGGAAAUGCCCACCAAGGCGACGAUCCGUGGCUGGUCUGAGUGGAUGAUCGGCCACACGGGAGCUGAGACACGGUCCAGGGUCCUACGGGAGGCAGCAGUGGGGAAUGUUGGACAAUGGGCGCAAGCCUGAUCCAGCGAUACCGCGUGGGUGAAAGAGGCCUUCGGGUUGUAAAGCCGUUUUGUGGGGAAAGAAAAGCAGCAGGUUAAGACCCCGCUGUACUGACGGUACCCAAAGAAUAAGCACCGGCUAACUUCGUG